AUUGAACGCUGGCGGCAUGCUUUACACAUGCAAGUCGAACGGACUUAGGUGCUUGCACCUAGGUUAGUGGCGAACGGGUGAGUAAUGCAUCGGAACGUACCGUGUAAUGGGGGAUAACGCAGCGAAAGUUGUGCUAAUACCGCAUACGAUCUACGGAUGAAAGCAGGGGAUCGCAAGACCUUGCGUUAUACGAGCGGCCGAUGUCGGAUUAGCUAGUUGGUAGGGUAAAGGCCUACCAAGGCAACGAUCCGUAGCGGGUCUGAGAGGAUGAUCCGCCACACUGGGACUGAGACACGGCCCAGACUCCUACGGGAGGCAGCAGUGGGGAAUUUUGGACAAUGGGCGCAAGCCUGAUCCAGCCAUGCCACGUGAGUGAAGAAGGC
This 383-nucleotide ribosomal RNA is filed under the name uncultured bacterium. RNAcentral describes it as "bacterial SSU rRNA". It matches the Rfam family "Bacterial small subunit ribosomal RNA", at positions 30 to 415 of the family's 1533-position model. The record is from RNAcentral.